RNAcentral lists this ribosomal RNA (450 nucleotides) under uncultured bacterium. RNAcentral's name for it is "partial 16S ribosomal RNA". It matches the Rfam family "Bacterial small subunit ribosomal RNA", at positions 354 to 796 of the family's 1533-position model. The record is from RNAcentral.
GUGGGGAAUCUUCCACAAUGGACGAAAGUCUGAUGGAGCAACGCCGCGUGAGUGAAGAAGGGUUUCGGCUCGUAAAGCUCUGUUGUCGGGGACGAAUGUGCAGUAUUUGAAUAAAGUACUGUAAUGACGGUACCUGACGAGGAAGCCACGGCUAACUACGUGCCAGCAGCCGCGGUAAUACGUAGGUGGCAAGCGUUGUCCGGAAUUAUUGGGCGGAAAGGGAGCGCAGGCGGGAAGGUAAGUCGGUCUUAAAAGUGCGGGGCUCAACCCCGUGAUGGGAUCGAAACUAUCUUUCUUGAGUGCAGGAGAGGAAAGUGGAAUUCCUAGUGUAGCGGUGAAAUGCGUAGAUAUUAGGAGGAACACCAGUGGCGAAGGCGACUUUCUGGACGGUAACUGACGCUGAGGCUCGAAAGCCAGGGGAGCGAACGGGAUUAGAAACCCGUGUAGUCC